GCGAGAAUGUAGAGAUGAUUAGAUGAGUCAUUUAUGUAGGCCCAUAGCAUAUCUCCUAGUGAUUUGUCAUUGAGUACCAUUGGCAAAGACCAAGGAGAACAUCUUCAAACAAUCAUCAACAACAACUUGUAUUUAUAUUGUGCCCUUCACGUAGGAUAACGUCUCGGGGUGCUGCACGGUUGUGGAGUUGGAUCCCAAGCAACAGAAAAGGGAGCGGGAUCAGAUUGAAGUUCGAGAGGAAUCCAUAGAAAAGUUACCUGGAAACCUCUCCAGAAUGUGAAACAGGUCCCUGAGCAGCUGAGAAGGACUAAAGGCACAACUGCGACCUUUUAUUGCUCUUUCCCAAUUGUCAAAGAUAAAUCCUAAAUCGAUGUCCAUUGGUGGAGGGAGGGAGGGAGGGAGAAGAGGAAUUAUUGAACAGAAAGGAUACCAGGAAUCGAUUUGAAGUUGUGAAUCAAGGCAGCGCUGACUUUCACCUCCUAAAUUUGAGUCUUUCGGACUCGGGACGCUAUUACUGCAGAGUCAGAUACGAGCUUCAAAGCGGUAACGGAAAUGGCACAUGGCUGGAUGUAAACAGUGAGUGUCUCCAAUGUUGGGAAUCCACAGAGUAAAUAAAUAAUCCUUGAUACAGCGUU
Molecule: long non-coding RNA, 635 nt
Organism: Callorhinchus milii (elephant shark)
Lineage: Eukaryota; Metazoa; Chordata; Chondrichthyes; Chimaeriformes; Callorhinchidae
Exons: 2
Source: RefSeq, a predicted model, not a curated record